UAAGUCAAUUAUUACUUAAUUUACACAUGCAAGUCUCCGCCCCCCUGUGAAAACGCCCUUAAACCCCUUAUGGGGCAAGGAGCUGGUAUCAGGCACAACAACUCUGCCCAAGACACCUAGCUUUGCCACACCCACAAGGGAACCCAGCAGUGAUUAACAUUGAAUAUUAGCGAAAGCUUGAUUCAGUUAAAGUAUAUAGAGCCGGCUAAUCUGGUGCCAGCCGCCGCGGUUACACCAUGUGGCCCAAAUUGACUCCCUAUCGGCGUAAAGCGUGAUUAAAGGGGUCAAAUUAAAACUAAGCUGUGACACGCUUGUAAUCAAGAAGCUCAAACACGAAAGUUACCCUAAUUAAAUCAACUUGAACUCACGACAACUGAGGGACAAACUGGGAUUAGAUACCCCACUAUGCUCAGUCGUAAACUUUAACUUACAUCUUAAUCGCCGGGGAACUACGAGCUAAACUUAAAACCCAAAGGACCAGACGGGACCCAUAUCCCCUAGAGGAGCCUGUCCUUUAAUCGAUAACCCACGUUUAACCUCACCAUUUCUGGCUACUCAGCCUGUAUACCUCCGUCGCCAGCUUACCUCGUGAGCGCUAACCUUAGUGAGCACAAUGUUUUUCUAAAAUACGUCAGGUCAAGGUGCAGCAAAUGUAAUGGAAAGAGAUGGGCUACACUUUCUACAUUUAGAAUAAACGAAAAACUACCUAUGAAAUCUAGUUAGAAGGCGGAUUUAGUAGUAAAAUGAGGUCAUUAUACUCACUUUAACCCGGCACUGGGGUGUGUACACACCGCCCGUCACCCUCUUCGCUAUUACUCAGUCUUUAACAAACUCACGCUUAAUAGAGGAGGCAAGUCGUAACAUGGUAAGUAUACCGGAAGGUAUGCUUGGAUAACGCAAUGUAGCUUAAUUAAAG
RNAcentral lists this non-coding RNA (916 nucleotides) under Dendrophryniscus brevipollicatus. RNAcentral describes it as "partial 12S ribosomal RNA". It matches the Rfam family "Bacterial small subunit ribosomal RNA". Lineage: Eukaryota; Metazoa; Chordata; Amphibia; Anura; Bufonidae. The record is from RNAcentral.